This 78-nucleotide transfer RNA is filed under the name Thermoplasmatota archaeon. Its description in RNAcentral is "tRNA-Pro". RNAcentral also lists the same sequence under 2 other names. The record is from RNAcentral. Lineage: Archaea; Methanobacteriati; Thermoplasmatota.
GGGGCCGUGGGGUAGCUUGGUCGAUCCUUCGGGCUUUGGGAGCCUGGUACCCGAAUUCAAAUUUCGGCGGCCCCACCA